RNAcentral lists this long non-coding RNA (5966 nucleotides) under Homo sapiens (human). RNAcentral describes it as "HSALNT0038230". Lineage: Eukaryota; Metazoa; Chordata; Mammalia; Primates; Hominidae. The record is from RNAcentral.
GUUUUUCUGUACUUUUAAUGAGCUAGAAAAUGCAUACUAUAAAUAGAAUAUACAAAUGAUUUUACACAAAUGAAGCAUUAAAAAUCACAAAUCUUAUAUUUGGUUAUCCACAGUCUAUAAAAUAAUGUUCCCAAAUUAUAUAGUUUAAAAUACACAAUGUUUCAAGUUGCAAGACAAAACCAGGGUAGUUUUGGCCCUAAAUCAUAGCUAACAUAAGUAGGAAUUAUAAUUAAUUUUAUAAUUGUGUUUAAAUUUUAAAUACUCUAGAAUCUGAAAAUAUUAAAUAUUAAAUAGAUGGAGGGAUCAAAUUAUCAAGUUUUUUAACAAAAUUGAGGUAAAAAUCUGCAUUAAAUUACACCAAGAAAAACAUUUCUAAAACAUUGUUUCCAUAACUCAUUAUAAAUAUUUCAUCUUCCGAAAGUACUCUUUGAUUACCUCUGGCCUUCUGGGUCUGGUAAUUAAGUUGACUUAAUAUUUGCACAUAGCUACUGAUUACUCAAUACAGGCCUAUCAGAUAAAACUAAAAUGCUGCAACUUAAUCAGAAUGAUGCAAUCUUGUCUUAUAUAAAUAUACAAAUCACAGUAUGCUGACACUAGAUAACUUCAGCUUUAUUUGCCAAAGGGGAUUUAGAAUAUACUACAAAAUUGUAUAUAAAAUAACCCUUUACAAGGAUUUACUAGGAUGACUGCAAAGAAAGGCAAAUUAAAUAUACCUGGUCCCAUAUAAGAAUUGUUGCCUAACCUCAUAUACUAAUUUGAAUAUGAAGACUCACUUUUUAUUUCUUAUUUUUUUGAAACAGGGUCUCGCUCUGUCACCCAGGCUGGAGUGCAGUGGUGUGAUCUCAGCUCACUGCAACCUCUGCCUCUUGGGUUCAAGCGAUUCUCCUACCUCAGCCUCACAAGUAGCUGGGACUACAGGCGUGCACCACCAUGCCUGGCUAAUUUUUUGUAUUUUUAGUAGAGAAGGGGUUUCUCCAUGUUGGUCACACUGGUUUUGAACUCCUAAUCUCAGGUGAUCCACCCGCCUCGGACUCCCAAAGUGCUGGGAUUACAGGUGUGAGCCACCGCACCUGGCCUGAAUAUAAAGACUCAUUUUAAAUUAUACUAGUUGAACCUUUAUACUACAAUGUAUCCUGGCACUUAUUUUUUUUAAACCAUUAUCAGAUAUUUCAUGUUCUACUAGUAAAGGGAAUUCGCAUUUUCAAUGUCCUGUCUGCAUUCCUCCUAGCCUCUCUCUGCUCAGGUUUUGGAAAAUAGAUCUUUCAAAUGCAAUUGCAGUAUCCAAGGAAAUUCCUCCCACCCAUGCCACCAGUGCUCAUCCUGUGGGCACCCCACAGUCAGCAGUUUAAGACCAUUCUGGAUGAAUGCAAAUGCUUGAUUCAAUUUUCCCAAAUCCCAAUCAACUAGCUACAGUUUUUAUUGUAUGCAAUCUUCCCAACAUUGCAGUAAAGCAGUCUAGAUGGCUGGGGAAAGGUAAAAGAACCCCGGUUGUGAUUAUUUUUUUCUAACAAAAUGGAAUUAAAAGAUGAGAAAACCUCGUAGUAUUUUAGUCUGGUACUUUUAGCAUCCCCAACUUUUAAGAUUAUAAAUUCACAAUAGUGAACACCCUAGUGACAACUUUUAAAUAAAAUACUGGAUAGCUGGGCGCAGUGGCUCACACCCGUAAUCCCAGCACUUUGGGAGGCCGAGGCGUGUAGAUCACUUGAGGUCAAGAGUUCAAGACCAACCUGGCCAACAUGGUAAAACCUCCUCUCUACUAUAAAUACAAAAAAUUAGCUGGGCGUGGUGGUGCAUGUCUGUAAUCCCAGCUAUUCGGGAGGCUGAGGCAGGAGAAUCACUUGAACCCAGGAGGCAGAGGUUAGAGUGAGCCGAGAUCGUGCCACUGCACUUCAGCCUGGGCAAUGGAGUGAGACUCUGUCUCAAAAAAAAUAAAAAAUAAAAAAUAAAAUACUGCAUAAUUACAUGCUAUAGUAAAUUAAUCAUACACUCAAAAUUUUAGCUUGGAUUUGUUUUGCAACUGAUUUGAUGCUGUCUGAAAAUCAAGAUCAAGCAGGUGAUGAAAACUAUACCUUUUGAACAUGCAUUAGGUAACCAGGGGGCAACAGAGUAGGGACUAAUAAGGCCAGCAACUCAGGGAAAUUAGCCUAUUCAUCUGAUAUAUUUGGCCUCCAUAAAACUGCCAUGGAUUCCAACUGUACUCAAAUAUAAUACAACUUCUUCAAUGCUGCUUUAUAAAUCUGACUGAAAACCUUAUUUAAGGAGUCAAGAUGCUGAACACCCUAACAAAAGCAAAAACAAAAUUACGGCCUAUGUGGUGUCACUGUUAUUACCACUCUUUACAAAGCACUAAGUACACAUAGGUGUUUGGCAUUGUCUCUGGAACUACAAAACUAUGGCCUAUGUGGUGUUUGGCAUUGUCUCUGGAACUACAAAAUUAAACUUUUAGAAUCACAGCAUUUUACACCUGAGAGGAAUCUUAAAAGAUACUGAAUUUCGCUUCUCACUUUAUAGCUGAGAAGAGUGAGGGAAGGACGGACCAUGGGAGUCAGCAUUUUUCAAGCAUCCAGGCACGCUGGGCCUGGUAUUUCAAUUAGAGUUUCUCAUUCUCACAGUCUCAGGCAGGUUGCAUUAACCUCCACUUCACAGCUAAGUAAAUGCGGAUCUACCAGAUUGAAUAAUCUCCCCCAAAUAAAUUCACUAAUGAGGAACAGAAGGAAUCCAACGUCAGAGUUAGUGCUCUUCUCAGAGUAAUAAUCUGCAAAGUGUGGUCCUGGGACCAGCAGCUGGGGCAUUACCUGGACGCUUGUUAGAAAGGCAAAUUACCAGGCCCACCAUCCCCACCGCCAGACCUACUGAAUCAGAAACUCUAGGGUGGCCCCCAGCAAUCAAGUUUUUGGUUUUGUUUUUUUAACAGACAGGGUCUCACUUUGCUGCCCAGGCUGGACUGCAGUGGCCCAAUAAUAACUCACUGCAGCCUCGAACUCCUGGGUUCAAGUGAUCCUCCUGCCUCAGACUCCCAAGCAGCUCAGACUACAGGUAUGCACUACCAUGCCUGUUUGUUUUUUGUUUUUGUUUUUGUAGAGACAGGGGUCUUGCUGUAUUGCCCAGCCUGAUCUUGAACUCCUGGGCUCACGUGAUCCUCCUGCCUCAGUCUCCCAAAGCACUGGAAUUACAGGCAUGAGCCUGUGUUCUCCCCUCUCUUCCAAUAAUGUGUAUUCAACAAGGCCUUCAGGUGAUGCUGAUGCUGUCUGAAAGCCACUGCUCUCCAGCAUGUGGUCUCUGAAACUUUACUUAGGAGUAUGCAUAUUAAAAUAUAUAUAUAACUUAACACUAUGCUACUACAAAGGGCAAAAUAAUUCACUUUAUUGUACUUUAUUUUAGAAUAAUUAAGACAAGGAUAGGCUUCAAUGAAAUUUUGCUUUGAUGUUACAUGGUCUGACUGACACUGGAUUUCUUCAUAAGAAAAAUAAAUGUGAAAGCUAUUCCAAGUAAGCAAAUGGUGGCAAAAACAAUCUAAAGAAUUGGUUUUAGCCAGGCAUGGUGGCUCAUGCCUGUAAUCCCAGCACUUUGGGAGGCCAGGGCGGGCAGAUUACUUGAGCUCAGGAGUUCAAGAGCAGCCUGGCCAACAUGGUGAAACCCCAUCUCUACUAAAAACACAAAAAUUAGGCAAUAUAGCAAGACCCCAUCUCUACCAAAAAUACAAAAAAACUAAUCAGGAAUGGGGGCACAUGCCAGUAGUCCCAACUACUCAGGAGACUGAGGUGGGAGGAUGGCUUGAGCUUGGGAGGUUGCAGUGAGCCAAGAUCCUGCCACUGCACUCCAGCCUGGGUGACAGAGUGAGACCCCAUCUCAAAAAAAAAAAAAGAAUUUCAUCUCAUGUCAAAAAUAAGACUCUUGGACAGAAAUCUUCUGCCUGCCUUCCAAGGACCCACUGAAAUUAAUGGAUACUCUCACAUGACUGACUUUAUUAUUAAAUACUUGCUGUAAUCACAACUAGGCAUAGGAAAAUCAAGUAGAGAAAUACUGAAUGCCUAGCAUACAACGAUCUAAGUGAAAGUUAAUAAAAGUAGCUCUUCAGAAAGACAUCUCAUGUAAAAUUAAAUUUAAAACUAAAAAUUUCAUGAAGUGACCUGUUAAGAGUUUCAAUUUAGAAGCUUUACUUUUCUAAUUUUAAAAUAUCAUGAAUGAAAUGGUGUCUUCAUCUAGGUGCUUCUCCAUCAAAAUCCCUAGCUCAAAAAUAAAAAUCAUGUUUGUGUCACCCCAGAUUCAAAAUGCUGUUAUUGGAAAUGUUACCAUUUCACAUGAACAUUCCAGUAAAUAUGCACAUAGAGGGUACUCAUUACUUUUGGUUGGUAAUUUUUCCUUAAAUAUAUUUCAAUGAUUUCAUUGUUUGACAUUUUCAUAGUUAACGUAUACUGAAUACAGAAAAUUUUGUAGGAAAACACUAUUUUUUAAAUGUAGUAACAUUAAAAUAUUAAAAUAUCCCGUUUAUUAAAGGCUCUUAAGAUUUAAAGAAAAAUUUCCUGUGCACAUACAAUGUACCUAUGAAAUACUGUAUUAUUAGUUAUUGUACAGGCAAAUGAGGCUGUUACUAUAAAAAAAAUGUGGUGUCUAAAAAUUGCAAGUCUAUGUGAAAAAUCAACCUCAAUUUAUCUAAAUGGGAUUUGGGGGACACGGCAGACUAUUAAAAUAGAACUCAAACUUCAAAUUCUGUAAACUGAACAUCUCAUUAAUGCCACUUCACCAUUUAAAAAAGUCAGCACACAAUGUUAGCUAUGUAAGUUUAUCUGCAGAUGUUACAGGUAAUUAUUUCUGUUAACUCCUCCUAAAAUAUUAUUUAGUAAUAAAGAAUAUUUCAAAAGGAGAGUAGGUAGAAACGAAGAUCAUAACUAUACUUACUUAAUAUGAAAAUGACAUUUCAUUUAUUUGCUAAUAUGUGGAAAAAAAUUUUCUAAUUAAUUCCUCCUUUAUCCUUCUUUAAAAACAUUUUAUUUCUUCAACCAGCACACUGAGGAUUAGUGCUAUGGGUAUUACCACAGUGCCCUGUGAAAAGACUUGGCUUCCAGAGAAGUCAUACCUUGCAUACCCUGGAGUCAUACCUCAAAUUGGCUCUGCAUGAUUGAUUUUACAGCGGGCAUUAAAAUUCUUCUGAAACAAGGCUGUGUACCUUUGAGAACAUUCACAUUUAACCUUGUGAGCUCACUUCUACAAGAACAAUGAACUUAUUUGUCAGCUGCCAGGGGGAAAAUCAGCUUAAUGUAAAGAAUUAAUUAAAUCAGGUUGACAGAAGCCAAUAUCUCAAUGUUUUUAAAUUAAAAUUUAUUUAAAGGAAUAAGUAUGGGUGCAUUACAUAAACCUAAUGGUUCUUCUAAGCUUCAAAAAGCAUUCAUUUCAAAAGUAUUCACUUUUUUUUUUUUUGAGACGGAGUCUCGCUGUCGCCCAGGCUGGAGUGCAGGGGCACGAUCUCGGCUCACUGCAGGCUCCGCCUCCCGGGUUCACGCCAUUCUGCUGCCUCAGCCUCCCGAGCAGCUGGGACUACAGGCGCCGCCACCACGCCCGGCUAAUUCUUUGUAUUUUUAGUAGAGACGGGGUUUCACUGUGUUAACCAGGAUGGUCUCGAUCUCCUGACCUCGUGAUCCGCCCGCCUCGGCCUCCCAAAGUGCUGGGACUACAGGCGUGAGCCACCACGCCCGGCCCAAAAGCAUUUACUGUUAAGGCUGCCUCAUUUUUCAGCUUUGUUGUAGUUGAGAUUCUGAUGUUCACCUAACAAAGUCCCUGACAAAACAGACUUCCUUCAAUCCAGGUCAUAAUUUGAAACGUUAUACAAUAAUGAGAUUUAAGUGAUGAAUGGAAAGAAAAGAAGGAGACUGAAAAGAUAUCAGAAAUUUCUAUUUGUUUUUAGAUUCAGAAAAAUAUAAUUACAGGCCAACAUGGGUCUGACAGAGAGGAAGGACGUCAGCAGUUAC